This 465-nucleotide ribosomal RNA is filed under the name uncultured Klebsiella sp. Its description in RNAcentral is "bacterial SSU rRNA". It matches the Rfam family "Bacterial small subunit ribosomal RNA", at positions 338 to 795 of the family's 1533-position model. The record is from RNAcentral. Lineage: Bacteria; Pseudomonadati; Pseudomonadota; Gammaproteobacteria; Enterobacterales; Enterobacteriaceae.
CCUACGGGCGGCUGCAGUGGGGAAUAUUGCACAAUGGGCGCAAGCCUGAUGCAGCCAUGCCGCGUGUGUGAAGAAGGCCUUCGGGUUGUAAAGCACUUUCAGCGGGGAGGAAGGCGGUGAGGUUAAUAACCUCAUCGAUUGACGUUACCCGCAGAAGAAGCACCGGCUAACUCCGUGCCAGCAGCCGCGGUAAUAAGGAGGGUGCAAGCGUUAAUCGGAAUUACUGGGCGUAAAGCGCACGCAGGCGGUCUGUCAAGUCGGAUGUGAAAUCCCCGGGCUCAACCUGGGAACUGCAUUCGAAACUGGCAGGCUAGAGUCUUGUAGAGGGGGGUAGAAUGCCAGGUGUAGCGGUGAAAUGCGUAGAGAUCUGGAGGAAUACCGGUGGCGAAGGCGGCCCCCUGGACAAAGACUAACGCUCAGGUGCGAAAGCGUGGGAAGCAAACAGGAUUAGAUACCCUAGUAGUC